This 655-nucleotide ribosomal RNA is filed under the name Alloalcanivorax gelatiniphagus. RNAcentral's name for it is "bacterial SSU rRNA". It matches the Rfam family "Bacterial small subunit ribosomal RNA", at positions 92 to 743 of the family's 1533-position model. The record is from RNAcentral. Lineage: Bacteria; Pseudomonadati; Pseudomonadota; Gammaproteobacteria; Oceanospirillales; Alcanivoracaceae.
CGAGCGGCGGACGGGUGAGUAACGCGUGGGAAUCUACCCUUUUGUGGGGGAUAACUUGGGGAAACUCAAGCUAAUACCGCAUAAGUCCUAUGGGAGAAAGCGGGGGACCUUCGGGCCUCGCGCGAGAGGAUGAGCCCGCGUCAGAUUAGCUUGUUGGUGAGGUAAAGGCUCACCAAGGCGACGAUCUGUAACUGGUCUGAGAGGAUGAUCAGUCACACCGGAACUGAGACACGGUCCGGACUCCUACGGGAGGCAGCAGUGGGGAAUCUUGGACAAUGGGGGCAACCCUGAUCCAGCCAUGCCGCGUGUGUGAAGAAGGCCUUAGGGUUGUAAAGCACUUUCAGCAGGGAGGAAGGCUUCGGCUUAAUACGCUGGAGUACUUGACGUUACCUGCAGAAGAAGCACCGGCUAAUUUCGUGCCAGCAGCCGCGGUAAUACGAAAGGUGCGAGCGUUAAUCGGAAUUACUGGGCGUAAAGCGCGCGUAGGCGGCUAUUUAAGUCUGAUGUGAAAUCCCCGGGCUCAACCUGGGAAUUGCAUCGGAUACUGGGUAGCUAGAGUGCAGUAGAGGAAGGUGGAAUUCCAGGUGUAGCGGUGAAAUGCGUAGAGAUCUGGAGGAACACCAGUGGCGAAGGCGGCCUUCUGGACUGACACUGA